UCCACAGAACUUUCCAGAGAUGGAUUGGUGCCUUCGGGAACUGUGAGACAGGUGCUGCAUGGCUGUCGUCAGCUCGUGUUGUGAAAUGUUGGGUUAAGUCCCGCAACGAGCGCAACCCUUAUCCUUUGUUGCCAGCGAUUAGGUCGGGAACUCAAAGGAGACUGCCAGUGAUAAACUGGAGGAAGGUGGGGAUGACGUCAAGUCAUCAUGGCCCUUACGACCAGGGCUACACACGUGCUACAAUGGCGCAUACAAAGAGAAGCGACCUCGCGAGAGCAAGCGGACCUCAUAAAGUGCGUCGUAGUCCGGAUUGGAGUCUGCAACUCGACUCCAUGAAGUCGGAAUCGCUAGUAAUCGUGGAUCAGAAUGCCACGGUGAAUACGUUCCCGGGCCUUGUACACACCGCCCGUCACACCAUGGGAGUGGGUUGCAAAAGAAGUAGGUAGCUUAACCUUCGGGAGGGCGCUUACCACUUUGUGAUUCAUGACUGGGGUGAAGUCGUAACAAGGUAACCGUAGGGGAACCUGCGGUUGGA
This 535-nucleotide ribosomal RNA is filed under the name Salmonella enterica. RNAcentral describes it as "bacterial SSU rRNA". It matches the Rfam family "Bacterial small subunit ribosomal RNA", at positions 987 to 1522 of the family's 1533-position model. The record is from RNAcentral. Lineage: Bacteria; Pseudomonadati; Pseudomonadota; Gammaproteobacteria; Enterobacterales; Enterobacteriaceae. RNAcentral also lists the same sequence under 1 other name.